CCUACGGGUGGCAGCAGUGGGGAAUAUUGGACAAUGGGCGAAAGCCUGAUCCAGCCAUGCCGCGUGUGUGAAGAAGGCCUUCGGGUUGUAAAGCACUUUCAGUGGGGAAGAAAGCCUUGGGGCUAAUACCCUCGAGGAAGGACAUCACCCACAGAAGAAGCACCGGCUAACUCCGUGCCAGCAGCCGCGGUAAUACGGAGGGGUGCGAGCGUUAAUCGGAAUUACUGGGCGUAAAGCGCGCGUAGGCGGUCUGAUAAGCCGGUUGUGAAAGCCCCGGGCUCAACCUGGGAACGGCAUCCGGAACUGUCAGGCUAGAGUGCAGGAGAGGAAGGUAGAAUUCCCGGUGUAGCGGUGAAAUGCGUAGAGAUCGGGAGGAAUACCAGUGGCGAAGGCGGCCUUCUGGACUGACACUGACGCUGAGGUGCGAAAGCGUGGGUAGCAAACAGGAUUAGAUACCCCUGUAGUC
RNAcentral lists this ribosomal RNA (466 nucleotides) under Vreelandella stevensii. RNAcentral describes it as "partial 16S ribosomal RNA". It matches the Rfam family "Bacterial small subunit ribosomal RNA", at positions 338 to 795 of the family's 1533-position model. Lineage: Bacteria; Pseudomonadati; Pseudomonadota; Gammaproteobacteria; Oceanospirillales; Halomonadaceae. The record is from RNAcentral.